GACGAACGCUGGCGGCGUGCCUAAUACAUGCAAGUCGAACGCAGUGGGGACGGGUGAGUAACACCUGGGUAACCUGCCAUAAGAGGGGAUAACACUUGGAAACAGGGGCUAAACCGAUACUGAUUGAUGGACUCGCGGUGCAGUAGCUAGUUGGUGGGGUAACGGCUCACCAAGGCCACGAUGCAUAGCCGACCUGAGAGGGUGAUCAGUCAGACUGGGACGUAGACACGGCCCAGACUCCUACGGUAGGCAGCAGUAGGGAAUCUUCGGCAAUGGACGAAAGUCUGACCGAGCAACGCCGCGUGAGUGAAGAAGGUUUUCGGAUCGUAAAGCUCUUUUGUUAGAGAAGCGUUAUCUAAACAGAAAGCCACGGCUAACUACGUGCCAGCAGCCGCGGUAAUUC
RNAcentral lists this ribosomal RNA (403 nucleotides) under uncultured bacterium. RNAcentral describes it as "partial 16S ribosomal RNA". It matches the Rfam family "Bacterial small subunit ribosomal RNA", at positions 28 to 526 of the family's 1533-position model. The record is from RNAcentral.